UUCGAUAACGCGUCGAGACCUUAACCUGCUAAAUAGCCCGGCUAGCUUUUGCUGGUCGCUGGCUUCUUAGAGGGACUAUCGGCUCAAGCCGAUGGAAGUUUGAGGCAAUAACAGGUCUGUGAUGCCCUUAGAUGUCCCGGGCCGCACGCGCGUUACACUGACAGAGCCAACGAGUUCAUCACCUUGGCCGAAAGGCCUGGGUAAUCUUGUUAAACUCUGUCGUGCUGGGGAUAGAGCAUUGCAAUUAUUGCUCUUCAACGAGGAAUGCCUAGUAAGCGCGUGUCAUCAGCACGCGUUGAUUACUCCCUGCCCUUGCCCCCCCCCG
Molecule: ribosomal RNA, 325 nt
Filed under: uncultured fungus
Lineage: Eukaryota; Fungi
Description: SSU rRNA
Rfam family: Eukaryotic small subunit ribosomal RNA
Source: RNAcentral